This 253-nucleotide ribosomal RNA is filed under the name uncultured bacterium. RNAcentral's name for it is "partial 16S ribosomal RNA". It matches the Rfam family "Bacterial small subunit ribosomal RNA", at positions 524 to 776 of the family's 1533-position model. The record is from RNAcentral.
UACGUAGGGUGCGAGCGUUAAUCGGAAUUACUGGGCGUAAAGCGUGCGCAGGCGGUUUUGCAAGCCGGAUGUGAAAUCCCCGGGCUCAACCUGGGAAUGGCAUUUGGGACUGCAAGGCUCGAGUGCGGCAGAGGAGACUGGAAUUCCUGGUGUAGCAGUGAAAUGCGUAGAUAUCAGGAGGAACACCGAUGGCGAAGGCAGGUCUCUGGGGUGACACUGACGCUCAUGCACGAAAGCGUGGGGAGCAAACAGG